This 336-nucleotide unclassified non-coding RNA is filed under the name soil metagenome. RNAcentral's name for it is "partial contains 5.8S ribosomal RNA, internal transcribed spacer 2, and large subunit ribosomal RNA". The stretch from base 1 to 120 matches the Rfam family "5.8S ribosomal RNA", at positions 35 to 154 of the family's 154-position model. The record is from RNAcentral.
GAUGAAGAACGUAGCGAAAUGCGAUAAGUAAUGUGAAUUGCAGAAUUCAGUGAAUCAUCGAAUCCUUGAACGCACAUUGCGCCCGCCAGUAUUCUGGCGGGCAUGCCUGUUCGAGCGUCAUUUCAACCAUCAAGCCCCCGGCUUGUGUUGGGGACCUGCGGCUGCCGCAGGCCCUGAAAAGCAGUGGCGGGCUCGCUGUCACACCGAGCGUAGUAGCAUACAUCUCGCUCUGGGCGUGCUGCGGGUUCCGGCCGUUAAACCACCUUCAUAACCCAAGGUUGACCUCGGAUCAGGUAGGAAGACCCGCUGAACUUAAGCAUAUCAAUAAGCGGAGGA